CAGAUGACCAUCCUGUAUGACAUUUGGAACUCAGGCCUGGACUCAGAGGACAUGAGUUACCUGCGGCUCACGUACGAGCGGCUGCUGCAGCAGACGAGCGGGGCCGACUGGCUCAACGACACCCACUGGGUCCAUCACACAAAUAUCCUGAGUGUGGGUGGCCUUCCCUGGGCUUGGGUCCUCCCCCGACCCCUCCUGGCACCUGCAUCUGUCCCCCACUCUGUCUGCCUCCCCUCUGGCUCCAAGCCAUCUUUUCUCAUCACCUGGUGCCUCUUUUCUGCCUUCCAAAGCAUUUCUGGCAGCAACAAUGGGGCUGGGGCUUUCUCCCCUCUCCCUCACCUGGGUAUGCUCAGCAGUGUGGGCCCCGCCCUCUCCUUUGGCUGGGACGCAGGUGGCCAGAGAGGAGCCGUUCUCUUCCUUAACACCCUGCACUCACCAACCUGACCACCCCAAAACGCAAGCGGCGGCCCCAGGACGGGCCCCGGGAGCACCAGACAGGCUCAGCCCGCAGCGAAGGCUACUACCCCAUCAGCAAGAAGGAGAAGGACAAGUACCUGGACGUGUGCCCAGUCUCGGCCCGGCAGCUGGAGGGCGUGGACACUCAGGGGACGAACCGCGUGCUGUCCGAGCGCCGGUCCGAGCAGCGGCGGCUGCUGAGCGCCAUCGGUACCUCCGCCAUCAUGGACAGUGACCUGCUGAAACUCAACCAGCUCAAGGU
Molecule: small RNA, 718 nt
Filed under: Pongo abelii (Sumatran orangutan)
Lineage: Eukaryota; Metazoa; Chordata; Mammalia; Primates; Hominidae
Description: retained intron
Source: RNAcentral